CGUACACUCCUGCGGGAGGCAGCAGUGGGGAAUAUUAGACAAUGGGCGCAAGCCUGAUCCAGCCAUGCCGCGUGAGUGAUGAAGGCCCUAGGGUUGUAAAGCUCUUUCACCGGUGAAGAUAAUGACGGUAACCGGAGAAGAAGCCCCGGCUAACUUCGUGCCAGCAGCCGCGGUAAUACGAAGGGGGCUAGCGUUGUUCGGAUUUACUGGGCGUAAAGCGCACGUAGGCGGACUAUUAAGUCAGGGGUGAAAUCCCGGGGCUCAACCCCGGAACUGCCUUUGAUACUGGUAGUCUUGAGUUCGAGAGAGGUGAGUGGAAUUCCGAGUGUAGAGGUGAAAUUCGUAGAUAUUCGGAGGAACACCAGUGGCGAAGGCGGCUCACUGGCUCGAUACUGACGCUGAGGUGCGAAAGCGUGGGGAGCAAACGGGAUUAGAAACCCGUGUAGUCCC
This 450-nucleotide ribosomal RNA is filed under the name uncultured organism. RNAcentral describes it as "partial 16S ribosomal RNA". It matches the Rfam family "Bacterial small subunit ribosomal RNA", at positions 330 to 797 of the family's 1533-position model. The record is from RNAcentral.